AAACCUAUAGAGGAACAAUCACAAGUGACUAGUAUUAUUCCUUUGGGUCCAGUGGAAGCCUCUGAUCUUCAUAUGGAAUGGACCCGGAACCGUAACCCAGCAUUUUGUUAUAUAGCAGCCUUACCUCUGCCACAAAGGUGUUUCUUUUGUUUAUUUUGAGGCCAGGUCUCGCUCUGUUAUACAGGCUGAGUGCAGUGGUGCAAUCUUGGCUCACUGCAGCCUCUGCCUCCUGUGCUCAAGUGAUCCUCCC
Molecule: long non-coding RNA, 250 nt
Filed under: Homo sapiens (human)
Lineage: Eukaryota; Metazoa; Chordata; Mammalia; Primates; Hominidae
Description: LHRI_LNC231.1
Source: RNAcentral